Molecule: non-coding RNA, 969 nt
Filed under: Sorex caecutiens (Laxmann's shrew)
Lineage: Eukaryota; Metazoa; Chordata; Mammalia; Eulipotyphla; Soricidae
Also listed under: 1 other name
Description: 12S ribosomal RNA
Rfam family: Bacterial small subunit ribosomal RNA
Source: RNAcentral
UAAAGGUUUGGUCCCAGCCUUCCUAUUAGUUGUUAGCAAAAUUACACAUGCAAGUAUCCGCAUUCCUGUGAGAAUACCCUCGCAAAUCAUCUAUGAUUAAAAGGAGUAGGUAUCAAGCACACUCUUAUCGAGUAGCUUACGACACCUUGCUUAGCCACACCCCCACGGGUAACAGCAGUGAUAAGAAUUAAGCAAUAAACGAAAGUUUGACUAAGUUAUGUUAACAUUAGGGUUGGUAAAUUUCGUGCCAGCCACCGCGGUCAUACGAUUAACCCAAAUUAAUAGGCAACGGCGUAAAGCGUGUUAAAGAGUGCUCAACACAUAAAUAAAGAUAAAACUUAACUAUUGCUGUAGAAAGCAACAGUUAAAACUAAAAUACACUACGAAAGUGACUUUAUUAUAUCUGAUUACACGAUAGCUAAGAUCCAAACUGGGAUUAAAUACCCCACUAUGCUUAACCCUAAACUUAGGUAUUUAAUCUAACAAAAAUACCCGCCAGAGAACUACUAGCAAUAGCUUAAAACUCAAAGGACUUGGCGGUGCUUUAUAUCCCUCUAGAGGAGCCUGUUCUGGAAUCGAUAAACCCCGAUAAACCUCACCACCCCUUGCUAAUCCACCUUAUAUACCGCCCUAUUCAGCAAACCCUAAAAAGGCAUAAUAGUAAGCACAAGUAUAGGACAUAAAAACGUUAGGUCAAGGUGUAGCUUAUGAGGUGGGAAGAAAUGGGCUACAUUUUCUAUUAAUUAGAACACUUACGAAAGUUAUUAUGAAACUAAUAACUAAAGGAGGAUUUAGUAGUAAGUUAAGAAUAGAGUGCUUAACUGAAUUAGGCCAUGAAGCACGCACACACCGCCCGUCACCCUCUUCAAGUACUUUAAACUACACCCAAUUUAUAAUUAUAAGUUAUCCAGUAUUAGAAGAGAUAAGUCGUAACAAGGUAAGCAUACUGGAAAGUGUGCUUGGACGAAU